RNAcentral lists this ribosomal RNA (301 nucleotides) under uncultured bacterium. RNAcentral's name for it is "partial 16S ribosomal RNA". It matches the Rfam family "Bacterial small subunit ribosomal RNA", at positions 509 to 807 of the family's 1533-position model. The record is from RNAcentral.
CAGUCGCCGCGGGAAAACGGAGGGGGCUAGCGUUGUUCGGAAUUACUGGGCGUAAAGCGCACGUAGGCGGCUUUGUAAGUCAGAGGUGAAAGCCUGGAGCUCAACUCCAGAAUUGCCUUUGAGACUGCAUCGCUUGAACGUCGGAGAGGUGAGUGGAAUUCCGAGUGUAGAGGUGAAAUUCGUAGAUAUUCGGAAGAACACCAGUGGCGAAGGCGGCUCACUGGACGACUGUUGACGCUGAGGUGCGAAAGCGUGGGGAGCAAACAGGAUUAGAUACCCCCGUAGUCCCUGUCUCUUAUAC